RNAcentral lists this small RNA (125 nucleotides) under Citrobacter sedlakii. RNAcentral describes it as "RtT sRNA". It matches the Rfam family "RtT RNA". From Rfam's summary of the family: This family represents a bacterial cis-regulatory element known as RtT RNA. The exact function of RtT is unknown although it is thought that it may be involved in changing the cellular response in relation to amino acid starvation. Lineage: Bacteria; Pseudomonadati; Pseudomonadota; Gammaproteobacteria; Enterobacterales; Enterobacteriaceae. The record is from RNAcentral.
GUUCUUCCAUUGCGGGGAAGGAUGAGAAGCGUCGACUAAGGUUCGAUUCGAGCGCAGCGAGAAAGCGUUGCCGCAGGCAACGACCCGAAGGGCGAGGCGCAGCCGCCAUCCUACGCUUUCAUUGA